This 462-nucleotide long non-coding RNA is filed under the name Rattus norvegicus (Norway rat). RNAcentral's name for it is "long non-coding RNA NONRATT010262". Lineage: Eukaryota; Metazoa; Chordata; Mammalia; Rodentia; Muridae. The record is from RNAcentral.
CGCCAUGAGAAGACUCAUCAAUCUGCUCCGGCAGUCCCGGGCCUAUUGUACCAACACAGAAUGCCUUCGGGAAUUGCCAGGGCCCUCCGGUGACAGUGGCAUCAGCAUCACUGUGAUCUUGAUGGCCUGGAUGGUGAUCGCUGUGCUCCUCUUUCUACUGAGGCCUCCUAACCUGAGAGGCUUCAGCCUUCCUGGAAAGCCCUCCAGUCCUCACAGUGGACAGGUCCCGCCAGCCCCUCCUGUGGGCUAACAUCCUGGUGUGGGAAGCAGCGAUUGUUUGACACCCUGCACGACCGAACGACUGCAGAGAACCUGGCACUACCUGUCUCUCCUUUUCCAUCUGCAGUUUGGAUGGUAUUGUUUUCAUGAGCUUCUAGAAGUUUCACUUGCCAACUGCCUUUGUUUCCUGUGUUGCCACAGUCCUUGUUUACAGUAUACCUGAGUAAACGAUUUCUUUGAAAA